This 402-nucleotide ribosomal RNA is filed under the name uncultured bacterium. RNAcentral's name for it is "bacterial SSU rRNA". It matches the Rfam family "Bacterial small subunit ribosomal RNA", at positions 29 to 416 of the family's 1533-position model. The record is from RNAcentral.
AACGAACGCUGGCGGCGUGCUUAACACAUGCAAGUCGAACGAGAAAGCUCUUUCGGGAGCGAGUAAAGUGGCGCACGGGUCAUUAACACGUGGAUAAUCUGCCUUUAGGAGAAGGGCAACCUGUCGAAAGACGGGCUAAUCCUUCAUAAGACCACAGUACCUUCGGGUACAGAGGUAAAAGUGGCCUCUAUUUAUAAGCUAUUGCCUAAAGAUGAGUCCGCGCACCAUUAGCAGUUGGCGGGGUAAAGGCCCACCAAGGCAAAGAAUGGUUAGCUGGUCUGAGAGGACGAUCAGCGACACUGGAACUGAGACACGGUCCAGACUCCUACGGGAGGCAGCAGUGGGAAUUUUGGACAAUGGGCGAAAGCCUGAUCCAGCAACGCCGCGUGAGUGAUGAAGGCC